RNAcentral lists this ribosomal RNA (425 nucleotides) under uncultured bacterium. RNAcentral's name for it is "partial 16S ribosomal RNA". It matches the Rfam family "Bacterial small subunit ribosomal RNA", at positions 354 to 796 of the family's 1533-position model. The record is from RNAcentral.
GUGGGGAAUAUUGGGCAAUGGGCGAAAGCCUGACCCAGCAACGCCGCGUGAAGGAAGAAGGUCUUCGGAUCGUAAACUUCUAUCCUUGGUGAAGAUAAUGACGGUAGCCGAGAAGGAAGCCCCGGCUAACUACGUGCCAGCAGCCGCGGUAAUACGUAGGGGGCAAGCGUUGUCCGGAAUGAUUGGGCGUAAAGGGCGCGUAGGCGGCCUGGUAAGUCUGGAGUGAAAGUCCUGCUUUUAAGGUGGGAAUUGCUUUGGAUACUGUCGGGCUUGAGUGCAGGAGAGGUAAGUGGAAGUCCCGGUGUAGCGGUGAAAUGCGUAGAGAUCGGGAGGAACACCAGUGGCGAAGGCGACUUACUGGACUGUAACUGACGCUGAGGCGCGAAAGUGUGGGGAGCAAACAGGAUUAGAUACCCGAGUAGUCC